UGCAGUCGAGGGGUAUAUGUCUUCGGAUAUAGAGACCGGCGCACGGGUGCGUAACGCGUAUGCAAUCUGCCUUUCACAGAGGGAUAGCCCAGAGAAAUUUGGAUUAAUACCUCAUAGUAUAAUCAAGCCGCAUGGUUUAAUUAUUAAAGUCACAACGGUGAAAGAUGAGCAUGCGUCCCAUUAGCUAGUUGGUAAGGUAACGGCUUACCAAGGCAACGAUGGGUAGGGGUCCUGAGAGGGAGAUCCCCCACACUGGUACUGAGACACGGACCAGACUCCUACGGGAGGCAGCAGUGAGGAAUAUUGGACAAUGGGCGCAAGCCUGAUCCAGCCAUGCCGCGUGCAGGAUGACGGUCCUAUGGAUUGUAAACUGCUUUUGUACGAGAAGAAACAUCCCGACGUGUCGGGACUUGACGGUAUCGUAAGAAUAAGGAUCGGCUAACUCCGUGCCAGCAGCCGCGGUAAUACGGAGGAUCCAAGCGUUAUCCGGAAUCAUUGGGUUUAAAGGGUCCGUAGGCGGUUUAGUAAGUCAGUGGUGAAAGCCCAUCGCUCAACGGUGGAACGGCCAUUGAUACUGCUGAACUUGAAUUAUUAGGAAGUAACUAGAAUAUGUAGUGUAGCGGUGAAAUGCUUAGAUAUUACAUGGAAUACCAAUUGCGAAGGCAGGUUACUACUAAUGGAUUGACGCUGAUGGACGAAAGCGUGGGGAGCGAACAGGAUUAGAUACCCUGGUAGUCCACGCCGUAAACGAUGGAUACUAGCUGUUGGGGGCAACUUCAGUGGCUAAGCGAAAGUGAUAAGUAUCCCACCUGGGGAGUACGUUC
RNAcentral lists this ribosomal RNA (824 nucleotides) under Flavobacterium sp. Its description in RNAcentral is "bacterial SSU rRNA". It matches the Rfam family "Bacterial small subunit ribosomal RNA", at positions 56 to 887 of the family's 1533-position model. Lineage: Bacteria; Pseudomonadati; Bacteroidota; Flavobacteriia; Flavobacteriales; Flavobacteriaceae. The record is from RNAcentral.